This is a long non-coding RNA of Sebastes umbrosus (honeycomb rockfish), 146 nucleotides long. RefSeq lists it as uncharacterized. NCBI's taxonomy places the organism in Eukaryota, Metazoa, Chordata, Actinopteri, Perciformes, Sebastidae. The record is from RefSeq and is a predicted model, not a curated record. The transcript is spliced from 3 exons.
AUACAUUAUCUGUACCGGCUUAUCCUAUUCAGUGUCGAGCGGGAGCUGGAGCCGAUCCCAGCUGACAUUGGGCGAAGGCGGGGUACACCUUGGACAGGUCGCCAGACUAUCACAGGGCUGACACAUAGAGACAGACGACCAUUCAC